This is a non-coding RNA of Alligator sinensis (Chinese alligator), 82 nucleotides long. The record is from Rfam. NCBI's taxonomy places the organism in Eukaryota, Metazoa, Chordata, Crocodylia, Alligatoridae.
AACAAGGUGGCUGAGUGGUUAAGGUGAUGGACUGCUAGUACAUUGUGCUCUACCUACAUGGGUUUGAAUCCCAUCCUUGUCA